Molecule: microRNA precursor, 178 nt
Filed under: Oryza punctata
Lineage: Eukaryota; Viridiplantae; Streptophyta; Magnoliopsida; Poales; Poaceae
Description: MIR812 microRNA precursor family
Rfam family: MIR812 microRNA precursor family
Source: Rfam by way of RNAcentral
AAUAAGUGCAGUUUUACACUAUUCAUAUCCGACGUUUAACCGUUCGUCUUGUUUGAAAUUUGUUUAUGAUUAGUAUUUUUUUUGUUAUUAGAUGAUUACUUUAUGCGUGACUAUUUUUUUAUUUUUUUCAUAAAUAUUUUAAAUAAAACGGACACGAAAACCCAUGACUGCAUUUAUU